This 12125-nucleotide long non-coding RNA is filed under the name Chlamydomonas reinhardtii. RNAcentral describes it as "long non-coding RNA (CREI_LNC000538)". Lineage: Eukaryota; Viridiplantae; Chlorophyta; Chlorophyceae; Chlamydomonadales; Chlamydomonadaceae. The record is from RNAcentral.
GGUGGCGCCCAAGGGCUACUGCCACGACACGUGUGGCGUGUGCAGCGGCGCAGGGCUGCCGUGUGUGGACCUGCGCUGGACAGAUCAGUACACAUGCGCCGACCUCAAGUCUUGGGGCUCGUGCAAUGACACCUGGGUCACGGACAACAACUUUUGUCGAAAGACGUGCGGCGCGUGCACGGGCAUGCCCCGGCCACCGUCGCCGCGGCCGCCUUCGCCACGCCCGCCAUCUCCUUCGCCUCCGUCGCCACGCCCACCAUCGCCGCCCUCACCUCCCUCGCCUAGCCCGCCCUCUCCUAAGCCGCCCUCGCCACCGUCUCCUCCUUCACCCAGCCCACCGUCUCCCAAGCCGCCUACACCGCCAUCCCCCGUGCCGCCCUCGCCCAAGCCUCCCGUGCCGCCUUCUCCCGUACCACCCUCACCGAAGCCCCCUGCGCCUCCUUCGCCCUCCCCGCCAUCUCCCAAGCCGCCCGCGCCCUCUCCCCCUCCGGUCCCUCCAUCCCCAAAGCCACCGUCUCCCUCGCCGCCCACACCUCCCAAGCCGCCGUCGCCUUCCCCGCCCUCGCCGUCGAACAGCCCUUGGCGUUGCACCGGCAACACGGCCGGCAUCGCUGGGUGUGUGGACCCGGCAUCCUACCCAGCGCCUGCCUCGUCAGCCAACGCAGCGACUUGCGGCGUCCUUCCUUCGUGCACAACCAUCGGCUGCCCCCAUUGCGACGCGUCGCUCAAGCGCUGGGACUCGGCUGCGACGUGGACAAAUUACGCUAACCAGGUGCCGGUGUCAGGCGCGGACAAGGACGUAACUCUUCCGCCGGGCACCCGUGUGCUGCUUUCGGGCUGCAUGCUGAGCGGGGGCUCGCGCUUCCGCCGCAUCACCGUUCCCGAGGGCAGCCAGGUAUGCGUCUUGGCGCAUUUGUGGUAAACUGCAAAUGCGGGGACCAGGACCUUGCGCGUUGGAAGUUGGGUGGUUAGCCAACGAAACCGUGUGUGUAAGCCGAGCUUGGGCGUUGCAACCCGGGCGCCUUCCCUGCUCACUUCAAUCGUGCCGUACGCGUUUUGGUCACGCCUCACACCAUGUCCCUGCCCCGGCUUUCUGUGCGCUGUGCAGCUGGUUAUAGACGACGCGCCGCUGAACCUGACGCUGACCACGCUGCUGGUGCAAGGCAACUUCAGUAUGGGCUCCGCCAGCUGCCGCCUGCAGAGCGCCAUCUCCAUCACGUUCGCGCCCGCGGCAGGAGUGCCCACCAACAUGAUGGCGCUCAAGGUGUGCAGGGAAAGCUUCUUUGGGACGGGCCCUCAGUAGGGCAUGUGGGUCGGGAUCGCCCGUGUCCAGGUGGGCUAGGUGGCAGUGUCGCGGGCAAUCAAGGUGUUCAUGCUGGACUCUGUGGCGUAGGAGCACUGUGGCGUGUGCACUCUCCUCUUGUACACCUGCACCAAGGGUUCCCUCCCCUGCACAGGGCAUGAACACCAGCACUGUGGACAUGCACGGCGUGCUGUUCACGCCCACUUGGACGCGGCUGACUCAGACAGCGGCCCCGGGCACUCGUUGGGUGACUGUGCGCGACGCAGUCAACUGGCGUGUGGGGCAGCUGGUGGCCGUCCCUACCAGCGUGUGGAAAGACGAGUGCCGCAACCAGAACGAGGUCAGGCAGAUCCAGAGCAUCAGCGCCGACGGCAAGAACAUCACAUUCACGACGGCGCUGCAGUUUUUGCACUACGGGUAGGUUGGCGCUAACCUUCGAGUGAUGCUGUUUGGACGGCCGGGGCCCGUUUAUGUGCAUGUGGUGCCCAUAGUGACACCACGUACCAUCGCGGUCCUGGUGCAGGGGCCCCGAGUACCAGACGGAAGUGGUGCUCCUGAGCCGCAGCAUCCUGUUGCAAGGCAGCCCCGAGUCCGCGGCCGAGCUGGCGGGCGGGCACGUGCGCAUUGAGAGCAAGGUGGGUUCGCGCGAGGGCAAGGUGACCACUUGGCGGCGGCAUGCUGGUUGGCAUUAACGUGCAGUGCGAACGCGCACUUGUAUCUUCGAGUGAACCUCCGCUCACCUGGCGGUUCCCGUGAUCUGUGACGUGCAGCGCGGGCGCAUCCGCGGCGUGCUGGGCUACCGCAUGGGCCAGCAGUUUCAGAUGGGCAGCUACCCGUUCCAUUUCCACAUGGCGGGCGAGGUGCCGUCUGACAGCUACAUGACCGACAACGCAGUGUACGCCAGCUACUGGCGAGGUGCGCUUAUGGAGGCUUCAGGAUGUGUGUACUGUGAAGGCUGUCGUUGCAGAAUGGCCAUCCCAAACUUGCCCUGAUGACUGCCUUGACCGUAUGCCUACCUCUUGCCCACGCUCGCAGCCUUCACCAUCCACGGCACGCACGCGCUGACGGUGGCCAGCAACACCGCCUUCCACGUGGCCGGCUCGGCGUUCUACAUUGAGGACGGCGCGGAGGAGCGCAACCGCAUCAGCGGCAACUUUGCCGGCUUCGUGCACCCGCUGGGCCGUGUGGACACGUGCGACGCGGUUGGCAGCGUGUUCGGCGCGCCCACCAUCUACCAGUCUGCUACACUGCUGCAGCCUGCCGACUGGGCCGCUGCUGGCUUCUACCUUAGGUGGGUGCAUGGGGCUAGGGCCGCCUGUGUAUGGUUUCUUGCCUUUGCAAUAUCUGCGUGCGUGCCAUACGCUACGACUUGGUGAUUCCCACACGGGCUUCCCAUCGUUGCAGCAACGCCUACAACUACAUCGACAACAACGCGGCCAGUGGCGGCACCAGCGGCUUCAUGUUCCUGAAUCUGCCCUUGCCGAUCGGGGUGAGUGCCGGUGUGUGCCCCCUCAUUGCAUGCUGGGUGGCAUCUUUCUUUCACAAUGCUCAAUCGUGACCCGGCUGGUGACUUCGUUUCACUAUGCCGCCUGUGCGUGCCCAUAUCUGCCCAGCUGAACCGCAACGUGCCGCUGGAGCCCUACAAGCGGCCCCCGCUGAGCUUCAGCGGCAACACCGCGCACUCGUCCGGCUAUCACUGGGACAAUGCGGGUGCAAUCUACUGCGGCGGUAACCUGCAGUACGACACAGACAACGUGACGCUGAUCUACAAGAUUGAGCGGUCCACGUUUGACCCCACGUGAGUCUUUGUGAGCUGCUUACAGCUUUCCCUUUCGCCCAGCCAUUUCGGCAACAUGCGCCUUACUCUCCCUCACUUACUUACCACAGAGACACGGCCAACUCUUCGUUACCGGUCAAGUUUGUGUUGCGCAACACCAAAGUGUGGCUGGGCGGCUUCUCAGUCGCUUCCUAUGGCGACCGGUUCUUGGUGAGUCAUUACGAUGCAUGUGGCCUUUGCCCCUGUGACUGCUUGCAAGCACGUUUGCUGCUGGACCGCACAUGAACCUACGCGCUACCUACCUGCGUCUUGCUUGUGCCCGCCCCCAGGUGGACGGCUUUGAGUCGCAUGACGGCACCAUGGGCGCGGCGGUGCGCGGUGACCCCAAUGAGCUGCUCAAUGCCGACCUGAACCUCAACUCCGCCCACGCCGGCUGGCUGACUGCCAACAUCCCCAAUGAGUGAGCGAGUCUCCUGCCUGCAAUCAUAGGCCAUGCUAUGCCGCUCGUCGCAGCUACCCGGUCGAUAACGCCCGUAAGCCCCAUCGCACCCGGCUGCUCCUUUGGUUUACCACUCGCAGCCUGCAACAAGGCUACCGCUUCGGUCUGCAGUUCUACGACACGUGGAUGCGGCACCUUAUGUCCAACGUCACCAUCCGCAACGUGGUGUACAGCAGCACCGAGUGGCUCACGCAGGCGGCGCUGGUGGCAUUGACCUUUUCGGACCAGUUUAAGCCGUUCCACGUGGCCAGCAUUCGGGGCAUCCGCCUAGUGAACGUGACCAAGGCGGCCGUGUUGAGCAACCCCGUGGUCCGCACUGGGUCAUGGCGCUUCUACAACUUCCUGGGUGCGGACACGAAUGGCGGGGCACGUUCCAUUAGUUUGCUUGUGUAUGUGUAAGGAAGUUUUGUACCUUUGUUGUGCCACACGCCCGUUCUUGAUCUUGCCCGAUGCACACACUGACCUGCAGACGCGGACGGUUCCUUCACGGGCACCAAGCGCCCCACGCUGGUAGCGUCCUACUCCGCCACCAACAACACCGGGCCCUGCGAUGCCGCUGCGCCCACACCCUGCACCUCGAGCUUUAACUGGUGGCGCACGGACACGGCCUGCACGGCCACGCCGCCAAAUGUGUGAGUGCGGGGUCGGCUGGGCUAUUGGCUGUGCCGGUGACUUGGCAGUGCAGGGCAACAUAGCACGCACUGCUGACACUCAACACCACUGGCAUUGCUAUCUGUCCCUCAACCAACAAACACAUGCGCAGGCCUGCAACGUCGAACGUCCUCGCGUGUGACUGGUGGGUGGAGAAUGGACGGACCUGCUGUGUGCUUUGUGGAUGCAAACAUAGCAGCUGUUGCCUUUUAUGCUGCACAUUGACGGAUACGUACAUGGGCAUUGACCCUACCUGCUUUUACUCGCCGUGUUCGCCAGGUACCCAUGGCGCACCCAGGGGCGCCUGAGGCUGGAGGUGCCGAGCUAUGACCUCACGGUAACAACUUGAUGGUCUGCACGCCUCGCUAUGAACCUUCCACGUGGGGUGUCCCAACCAACAACGUGUUAUGCGACCUGCAUUCGCGUCACGUUUGCCUUGACUACGCUCCUGCGCAGACUGAAGAGGCUGGCUGGUUGUGGCCUUCCGUCAACAACAUCAACGUGUACGACGCCGGCGUGGUGGCGCAGUUCGGCCAGACCGGCGCCAACCGCCGCGCCACCAUCAUCACUCGGGCCGAGGGCGUGACGGGCCUGACGGGGCGCGGCGGCUGGUACGCGCACUGGAGCCUGGGCGCACCCAAGUACGUCAAGGUGCAUUUGGAGACUGUGCCCCGCGGCACCUCCAUCAUCUUUGCUACACGCUACCCCGCCGGCACCACCUUCAGCAUCACCCGCGUGGCCAGCUCCUGGCUGGUGCCUGACGGGCAGCUGCUGCCCGCGACCAGCCUGGCGGCGGUGCUGGGCAGCGACUCCGGCGAGUUCUACUUCUUUGACGGCAAGCUGCUGUACCUGAAGCUGGUGGACCUUUGGGAGGAGCCGUACCAGGGUCGGCUGCCGGCCCGGAGCGGCGGGCUGAUGGUGCCCGGCAGCCGCUGGGAGGAGUACUAUGAGGUGACGGCCAGCAUCCCUGGCUGCUCCACGUCGCCGUACCCCAGCCAGAACGGACAAGACUUCUCUGGGCAGUUCUGUGCCAUGAACGUGAGUCAGGAUCAGGCCAAUGAGGCCAUGCAUUGGGACUGGGAGUAGGCAUGGCAGGGGCAGCAGGGGCAGGGACUGUGUGCACGUGCCCCUUUGGAACCCAGAACGGCGCCAGCCUCACCAAACCUGCCGCUGGGCCACCCUGUGUACAUACCGUAUGACAUUCUUCCUCUCCUUGCGCUCCAGGGCACUGUGGACAGCUUCAUCCCGCCCGCCAUCACGGCGGCCUACAACGAAUGGACCAUCCCCUACUGCGCCGAGGUGGCGCCGCCGCUGAGCGUAUGCAGCGCACUCAACGUGUCUGCCGGCAACUGCACCUGCGCGACGUUGCAGCAGCAGGGCCGCUGCGCUGACAUGGGAACCGGCGGCGUGUGGCUGGGCAACACGUCGGACGCCAACCUGCGUGCCAAUGUGGCCAAGACGCUCGGCUACUGCUCUGUGACGUGCGGUCGCUGCAGCGAGGGCCAGGAGUGGUGCCGCGACAUCCCCAUCAUGCCGCUCAGCCUGUCCAGUGAGUGGAAGGAGGGGAUGAGGACACUUGUAAGGCGUUUGCAGUUUGGCUUGCUUCGUGGUUCUAACGCUUCCCGCGGUGUGGCGCCCCUCCCAUUCCAUCUUUGCCUGCAGAGAACCAGACGUGCUCGCAGAUGGUUCCGCUGGGCCGCUGCUACGAGGUGGCGCCCAAGGGCUACUGCCACGACACGUGUGGCGUGUGCAGCGGCGCAGGGCUGCCGUGUGUGGACCUGCGCUGGACAGAUCAGUACACAUGCGCCGACCUCAAGUCUUGGGGCUCGUGCAAUGACACCUGGGUCACGGACAACAACUUUUGUCGAAAGACGUGCGGCGCGUGCACGGGCAUGCCCCGGCCACCGUCGCCGCGGCCGCCUUCGCCACGCCCGCCAUCUCCUUCGCCUCCGUCGCCACGCCCACCAUCGCCGCCCUCACCUCCCUCGCCUAGCCCGCCCUCUCCUAAGCCGCCCUCGCCACCGUCUCCUCCUUCACCCAGCCCACCGUCUCCCAAGCCGCCUACACCGCCAUCCCCCGUGCCGCCCUCGCCCAAGCCUCCCGUGCCGCCUUCUCCCGUACCACCCUCACCGAAGCCCCCUGCGCCUCCUUCGCCCUCCCCGCCAUCUCCCAAGCCGCCCGCGCCCUCUCCCCCUCCGGUCCCUCCAUCCCCAAAGCCACCGUCUCCCUCGCCGCCCACACCUCCCAAGCCGCCGUCGCCUUCCCCGCCCUCGCCGUCGAACAGCCCUUGGCGUUGCACCGGCAACACGGCCGGCAUCGCUGGGUGUGUGGACCCGGCAUCCUACCCAGCGCCUGCCUCGUCAGCCAACGCAGCGACUUGCGGCGUCCUUCCUUCGUGCACAACCAUCGGCUGCCCCCAUUGCGACGCGUCGCUCAAGCGCUGGGACUCGGCUGCGACGUGGACAAAUUACGCUAACCAGGUGCCGGUGUCAGGCGCGGACAAGGACGUAACUCUUCCGCCGGGCACCCGUGUGCUGCUUUCGGGCUGCAUGCUGAGCGGGGGCUCGCGCUUCCGCCGCAUCACCGUUCCCGAGGGCAGCCAGGUAUGCGUCUUGGCGCAUUUGUGGUAAACUGCAAAUGCGGGGACCAGGACCUUGCGCGUUGGAAGUUGGGUGGUUAGCCAACGAAACCGUGUGUGUAAGCCGAGCUUGGGCGUUGCAACCCGGGCGCCUUCCCUGCUCACUUCAAUCGUGCCGUACGCGUUUUGGUCACGCCUCACACCAUGUCCCUGCCCCGGCUUUCUGUGCGCUGUGCAGCUGGUUAUAGACGACGCGCCGCUGAACCUGACGCUGACCACGCUGCUGGUGCAAGGCAACUUCAGUAUGGGCUCCGCCAGCUGCCGCCUGCAGAGCGCCAUCUCCAUCACGUUCGCGCCCGCGGCAGGAGUGCCCACCAACAUGAUGGCGCUCAAGGUGUGCAGGGAAAGCUUCUUUGGGACGGGCCCUCAGUAGGGCAUGUGGGUCGGGAUCGCCCGUGUCCAGGUGGGCUAGGUGGCAGUGUCGCGGGCAAUCAAGGUGUUCAUGCUGGACUCUGUGGCGUAGGAGCACUGUGUGUGCACUCUCCUCUUGUACACCUGCACCAAGGGUUCCCUCCCCUGCACAGGGCAUGAACACCAGCACUGUGGACAUGCACGGCGUGCUGUUCACGCCCACUUGGACGCGGCUGACUCAGACAGCGGCCCCGGGCACUCGUUGGGUGACUGUGCGCGACGCAGUCAACUGGCGUGUGGGGCAGCUGGUGGCCGUCCCUACCAGCGUGUGGAAAGACGAGUGCCGCAACCAGAACGAGGUCAGGCAGAUCCAGAGCAUCAGCGCCGACGGCAAGAACAUCACAUUCACGACGGCGCUGCAGUUUUUGCACUACGGGUAGGUUGGCGCUAACCUUCGAGUGAUGCUGUUUGGACGGCCGGGGCCCGUUUAUGUGCAUGUGGUGCCCAUAGUGACACCACGUACCAUCGCGGUCCUGGUGCAGGGGCCCCGAGUACCAGACGGAAGUGGUGCUCCUGAGCCGCAGCAUCCUGUUGCAAGGCAGCCCCGAGUCCGCGGCCGAGCUGGCGGGCGGGCACGUGCGCAUUGAGAGCAAGGUGGGUUCGCGCGAGGGCAAGGUGACCACUUGGCGGCGGCAUGCUGGUUGGCAUUAACGUGCAGUGCGAACGCGCACUUGUAUCUUCGAGUGAACCUCCGCUCACCUGGCGGUUCCCGUGAUCUGUGACGUGCAGCGCGGGCGCAUCCGCGGCGUGCUGGGCUACCGCAUGGGCCAGCAGUUUCAGAUGGGCAGCUACCCGUUCCAUUUCCACAUGGCGGGCGAGGUGCCGUCUGACAGCUACAUGACCGACAACGCAGUGUACGCCAGCUACUGGCGAGGUGCGCUUAUGGAGGCUUCAGGAUGUGUGUACUGUGAAGGCUGUCGUUGCAGAAUGGCCAUCCCAAACUUGCCCUGAUGACUGCCUUGACCGUAUGCCUACCUCUUGCCCACGCUCGCAGCCUUCACCAUCCACGGCACGCACGCGCUGACGGUGGCCAGCAACACCGCCUUCCACGUGGCCGGCUCGGCGUUCUACAUUGAGGACGGCGCGGAGGAGCGCAACCGCAUCAGCGGCAACUUUGCCGGCUUCGUGCACCCGCUGGGCCGUGUGGACACGUGCGACGCGGUUGGCAGCGUGUUCGGCGCGCCCACCAUCUACCAGUCUGCUACACUGCUGCAGCCUGCCGACUGGGCCGCUGCUGGCUUCUACCUUAGGUGGGCGCAUGGGGCUAGGGCCGCCUGUGUAUGGUUUCUUGCCUUUGCAAUAUCUGCGUGCGUGCCAUACGCUACGACUUGGUGAUUCCCACACGGGCUUCCCAUCGUUGCAGCAACGCCUACAACUACAUCGACAACAACGCGGCCAGUGGCGGCACCAGCGGCUUCAUGUUCCUGAACCUGCCCUUGCCGAUCGGGGUGAGUGCCGGUGUGUGCCCCCUCAUUGCAUGCUGGGUGGCAUCUUUCUUUCACAAUGCUCAAUCGUGACCCGGCUGGUGACUUCGUUUCACUAUGCCGCCUGUGCGUGCCCAUAUCUGCCCAGCUGAACCGCAACGUGCCGCUGGAGCCCUACAAGCGGCCCCCGCUGAGCUUCAGCGGCAACACCGCGCACUCGUCCGGCUAUCACUGGGACAAUGCGGGUGCAAUCUACUGCGGCGGUAACCUGCAGUACGACACAGACAACGUGACGCUGAUCUACAAGAUUGAGCGGUCCACGUUUGACCCCACGUGAGUCUUUGUGAGCUGCUUACAGCUUUCCCUUUCGCCCAGCCAUUUCGGCAACAUGCGCCGUACUCUCCCUCACUUACUUACCACAGAGACACGGCCAACUCUUCGUUACCGGUCAAGUUUGUGUUGCGCAACACCAAAGUGUGGCUGGGCGGCUUCUCAGUCGCUUCCUAUGGCGACCGGUUCUUGGUGAGUCAUUACGAUGCAUGUGGCCUUUGCCCCUGUGACUGCUUGCAAGCACGUUUGCUGCUGGACCGCACAUGAACCUACGCGCUACCUACCUGCGUCUUGCUUGUGCCCGCCCCCAGGUGGACGGCUUUGAGUCGCAUGACGGCACCAUGGGCGCGGCGGUGCGCGGUGACCCCAAUGAGCUGCUCAAUGCCGACCUGAACCUCAACUCCGCCCACGCCGGCUGGCUGACUGCCAACAUCCCCAAUGAGUGAGUCUUCUGCCUGCAAUCAUAGGCCAUGCUAUGCCGCUCGUCGCAGCUACCCGGUCGAUAACGCCCGUAAGCCCCAUCGCACCCGGCUGCUCCUUUGGUUUACCACUCGCAGCCUGCAACAAGGCUACCGCUUCGGUCUGCAGUUCUACGACACGUGGAUGCGGCACCUUAUGUCCAACGUCACCAUCCGCAACGUGGUGUACAGCAGCACCGAGUGGCUCACGCAGGCGGCGCUGGUGGCAUUGACCUUUUCGGACCAGUUUAAGCCGUUCCACGUGGCCAGCAUUCGGGGCAUCCGCCUAGUGAACGUGACCAAGGCGGCCGUGUUGAGCAACCCCGUGGUCCGCACUGGGUCAUGGCGCUUCUACAACUUCCUGGGUGCGGACACGAAUGGCGGGGCACGUUCCAUUAGUUUGCUUGUGUAUGUGUAAGGAAGUUUUGUACCUUUGUUGUGCCACACGCCCGUUCUUGAUCUUGCCCGAUGCACACACUGACCUGCAGACGCGGACGGUUCCUUCACGGGCACCAAGCGCCCCACGCUGGUAGCGUCCUACUCCGCCACCAACAACACCGGGCCCUGCGAUGCCGCUGCGCCCACACCCUGCACCUCGAGCUUUAACUGGUGGCGCACGGACACGGCCUGCACGGCCACGCCGCCAAAUGUGUGAGUGCGGGGUCGGCUGGGCUAUUGGCUGUGCCGGUGACUUGGCAGUGCAGGGCAACAUAGCACGCACUGCUGACACUCAACACCACUGGCAUUGCUAUCUGUCCCUCAACCAACAAACACAUGCGCAGGCCUGCAACGUCGAACGUCCUCGCGUGUGACUGGUGGGUGGAGAAUGGACGGACCUGCUGUGUGCUUUGUGGAUGCAAACAUAGCAGCUGUUGCCUUUUAUGCUGCACAUUGACGGAUACGUACAUGGGCAUUGACCCUACCUGCUUUUACUCGCCGUGUUCGCCAGGUACCCAUGGCGCACCCAGGGGCGCCUGAGGCUGGAGGUGCCGAGCUAUGACCUCACGGUAACAACUUGAUGGUCUGCACGCCUCGCUAUGAACCUUCCACGUGGGGUGUCCCAACCAACAACGUGUUAUGCGACCUGCAUUCGCGUCACGUUUGCCUUGACUACGCUCCUGCGCAGACUGAAGAGGCUGGCUGGUUGUGGCCUUCCGUCAACAACAUCAACGUGUACGACGCCGGCGUGGUGGCGCAGUUCGGCCAGACCGGCGCCAGCCGCCGCGCCACCAUCAUCACUCGGGCCGAGGGCGUGACGGGCCUGACGGGGCGCGGCGGCUGGUACGCGCACUGGAGCCUGGGCGCACCCAAGUACGUCAAGGUGCAUUUGGAGACUGUGCCCCGCGGCACCUCCAUCAUCUUUGCUACGCGCUACCCCGCCGGCACCACCUUCAGCAUCACCCGCGUGGCCAGCUCCUGGCUGGUGCCUGACGGGCAGCUGCUGCCCGCGACCAGCCUGGCGGCGGUGCUGGGCAGCGACUCCGGCGAGUUCUACUUCUUUGACGGCAAGCUGCUGUACCUGAAGCUGGUGGACCUUUGGGAGGAGCCGUACCAGGGUCGGCUGCCGGCCCGGAGCGGCGGGCUGAUGGUGCCCGGCAGCCGCUGGGAGGAGUACUAUGAGGUGACGGCCAGCAUCCCUGGCUGCUCCACGUCGCCGUACCCCAGUCAGAACGGACAAGACUUCUCUGGGCAGUUCUGUGCCAUGAACGUGAGUCAGGAUCAGGCCAAUGAGGCCAUGCAUUGGGACUGGGAGUAGGCAUGGCAGGGGCAGCAGGGGCAGGGACUGUGUGCACGUGCCCCUUUGGAACCCAGAACGGCGCCAGCCUCACCAAACCUGCCGCUGGGCCACCCUGUGUACAUACCGUAUGACAUUCUUCCUCUCCUUGCGCUCCAGGGCACUGUGGACAGCUUCAUCCCGCCCGCCAUCACGGCGGCCUACAACGAAUGGACCAUCCCCUACUGCGCCGAGGUGGCGCCGCCGCUGAGCGUAUGCAGCGCACUCAACGUGUCUGCCGGCAACUGCACCUGCGCGACGUUGCAGCAGCAGGGCCGCUGCGCUGACAUGGGAACCGGCGGCGUGUGGCUGGGCAACACGUCGGACGCCAACCUGCGUGCCAAUGUGGCCAAGACGCUCGGCUACUGCUCUGUGACGUGCGGUCGCUGCAGCGAGGGCCAGGAGUGGUGCCGCGACAUCCCCAUCAUGCCGCUCAGCCUGUCCAGUGAGUGGAAGGAGGGGAUGAGGACACCUGUAAGGCGUUUGCGGUUUGGCUUGCUUCGUGGUUCUAACGCUUCCCGCGGUGUGGCGCCCCUCCCAUUCCAUCUUUGCCUGCAGAGAACCAGACGUGCUCGCAGAUGGUUCCGCUGGGCCGCUGCUACGAGGUGGCGCCCAAGGGCUACUGCCACGACACGUGUGGCGUGUGCAGCGGCGCAGGGCUGCCGUGUGUGGACCUGCGCUGGACAGAUCAGUACACAUGCGCCGACCUCAAGUCUUGGGGCUCGUGCAAUGACACCUGGGUCACGGACAACAACUUUUGUCGAAAGACGUGCGGCGCGUGCACGGGCAUGCCCCGGCCACCGUCGCCGCGGCCGCCUUCGCCACGCCCGCCAUCUCCUUCGCCACCUUUGCCUCCAGCU